RNAcentral lists this ribosomal RNA (465 nucleotides) under uncultured bacterium. RNAcentral describes it as "partial 16S ribosomal RNA". It matches the Rfam family "Bacterial small subunit ribosomal RNA", at positions 29 to 507 of the family's 1533-position model. The record is from RNAcentral.
ACGAACGCUGGCGGCGCGCCUAACACAUGCAAGUCGAACGAGCGAGAGAGAGCUUGCUUUCUUGAGCGAGUGGCGAACGGGUGAGUAACGCGUGAGGAACCUGCCUCAAAGAGGGGGACAACAGUUGGAAACGACUGCUAAUACCGCAUAAGCCCACGACCCGGCAUCGGGUUGAGGGAAAAGGAGCAAUCCGCUUUGAGAUGGCCUCGCGUCCGAUUAGCUAGUUGGUGAGGUAACGGCCCACCAAGGCGACGAUCGGUAGCCGGACUGAGAGGUUGAACGGCCACAAUUGGACUGAGACACGGCCCAGAAUCCUACGGGAGGGAGGAAGGGGGAAUAUUGCACAAUGGGGGAAACCCUGAUGCAGCGACGCCGCGUGGAGGAAGAAGGUCUUCGGAUUGUAAACUCCUGUUGUUGAGGAAGAUAAUGACGGUACUCAACAAGGAAGUGACGGCUAACUACGUG